This 308-nucleotide unclassified non-coding RNA is filed under the name uncultured Cordyceps. RNAcentral describes it as "sequence contains ITS1". The stretch from base 1 to 105 matches the Rfam family "5.8S ribosomal RNA", at positions 50 to 154 of the family's 154-position model. The record is from RNAcentral. Lineage: Eukaryota; Fungi; Ascomycota; Sordariomycetes; Hypocreales; Cordycipitaceae.
GAAAUGCGAUAAGUAAUGUGAAUUGCAGAAUCCAGUGAAUCAUCGAAUCUUUGAACGCACAUUGCGCCCGCCAGCAUUCUGGCGGGCAUGCCUGUUCGAGCGUCAUUUCAACCCUCGACCUCCCCUUGGGGAGGUCGGCGUUGGGGACCGGCAGCACACCGCCGGCCCUGAAAUGGAGUGGCGGCCCGUCCGCGGCGACCUCUGCGUAGUAAUACAGCUCGCACCGGAACCCCGACGCGGCCACGCCGUAAAACACCCAACUUCUGAACGUUGACCUCGAAUCAGGUAGGACUACCCGCUGAACUUAA